UAGGGAAUCUUCCGCAAUGGGCGAAAGCCUGACGGAGCAACGCCGCGUGAGUGAUGAAGGUCUUCGGAUCGUAAAACUCUGUUAUUAGGGAAGAACAAAUGUGUAAGUAACUAUGCACAUCUUGACGGUACCUAAUCAGAAAGCCACGGCUAACUACGUGCCAGCAGCCGCGGUAAUACGUAGGUGGCAAGCGUUAUCCGUAAUUAUUGGGCGUAAAGCGCGCGUAGGCGGUUUUUUAAGUCUGAUGUGAAAGCCAACGGCUCAACCGUGGAGGGUCAUUGGAAACUGGAAAACUUGGGUGCAGAAGAGGAAAGUGGAAUUCCAUGUGUAGCGGUGAAAUGCGCAAAAAUAUGGGGGAACACCAGUGGCGAAGGCGACUAUCUGGCCAUAAUCUGACGCUGGGGUACGAAAGCGUGGGUAGCAAACAGG
RNAcentral lists this ribosomal RNA (429 nucleotides) under Bacteroidota bacterium. Its description in RNAcentral is "Bacteroidetes bacterium partial 16S ribosomal RNA". It matches the Rfam family "Bacterial small subunit ribosomal RNA", at positions 355 to 776 of the family's 1533-position model. Lineage: Bacteria; Pseudomonadati; Bacteroidota. The record is from RNAcentral.